UAAGGAAUAUUGCGCAAUGGGCGAAAGCCUGACGCAGCGACGCCGCGUGGGGGAUGAAGGUCUUCGGAUUGUAAACCCCUUUCGGGAGGGAAGAUGGAAUGGGGUAACCCAUUCGGACGGUACCUCCAGAAGCAGCCACGGCUAACUUCGUGCCAGCAGCCGCGGUAAUACGAAGGUGGCAAGCGUUAUUCGGAUUUACUGGGCGUACAGGGAGCGUAGGCGGUUCGGUAAGCCCUCUGUGAAAUCUCCAGGCUUAACCUGGAACAGUCGGGGGGGACUGCUGGGCUAGAGGACGGGAGAGGAGCGCGGAAUUCCCGGUGUAGCGGUGAAAUGCGUAGAGAUCGGGAGGAAGGCCGGUGGCGAAGGCGGCGCUCUGGAACGUAUCUGACGCUGAGGCUCGAAAGCGUGGGGAGCAAACA
This 419-nucleotide ribosomal RNA is filed under the name uncultured Nitrospira sp. RNAcentral describes it as "bacterial SSU rRNA". It matches the Rfam family "Bacterial small subunit ribosomal RNA", at positions 355 to 774 of the family's 1533-position model. Lineage: Bacteria; Pseudomonadati; Nitrospirota; Nitrospiria; Nitrospirales; Nitrospiraceae. The record is from RNAcentral.